RNAcentral lists this long non-coding RNA (1018 nucleotides) under Triticum aestivum (bread wheat). RNAcentral's name for it is "long non-coding RNA (TAES_LNC015420)". Lineage: Eukaryota; Viridiplantae; Streptophyta; Magnoliopsida; Poales; Poaceae. The record is from RNAcentral.
AAUGCCCCCUUGAGGUAUAGACCGAUGUUUUGAUUAGUCAGUCUAGAGGGCAGUAUAAAUUCAAAAAAUUUCAAAAAAAUAUAAAACCUUGGAAACCUAGCUUUGUUUGUGCAAGAGAUCAUGUGUGCCCAAAUUGAGGUGAUUUGGAGGUGGUCAAAAAAAUCACCGCAUUCCGGAGGCACCAUUUGGUCUUAACUUAAGCCAUUUUUUGAACAAAGGUGAUUUUUUCCACCACCUCAAAAUCACCCAAUUUCUCUAUGACACGGUGACCCACGUGUGGCAAACAUGUCCAUGAAAGAACAUUUGGAAAAAUAUAUUUUACAAUGCCCCCUUGAGGUAUAUACCGAUGUUUUGAUCAGUCAGUCUACAUGGCAGUAUAAAUUCAAAAAAUUACAUAAAAUAUAAAACCUUGUAAACCUAGCUUUUUUUGUGCAAGAGAUCAUGUGUGCCCAAAUUGAGGUGAUUUGGAGGUGGUCGAAAAAAUCACCGCAUUCCGGAGGGACCAUUACUUAAGCCAUUUUUUGAACAAAGGUGAUUUGUUCCACCACCUCCAAAUCACCCAAUUUCUCUAUGACACGGUGACCCACAUGUGCCAAACAUGUCCAUGAAAUAAAAUUUGGAAAAAAUAUAUUUUACAAUGCCCCCUUGAGGUAUAGACCGAUGUUUUGAUCAGUCAGUCUAGAGGGCAGUAUAAAUUCAAAAAAAUUUCAAAAAAAUAUAAAACCUUGGAAACUUAGCUUUGUUUGUGCAAGAGAUCAUGUGUGCCAAAAUUGACGUGAUUUGGAGGUGGUCGAAAAAAUCACCGCAUUCCGGAGGGACCAUUUGGUCUAACUUAAGCCAUUUUUUGAACAAAGGUGAUUUUUUCCACCACCUCCAAAUCACCCAAUUUCUCUAUGACACGGUGACCCACGUGUGCCAAACAUGUCCAUGAAAGAACAUUUGGAAAAAAAAUUACAAUGCCCCCUUGAGGUAUAGACCGAUGUUUUGAUCAGUCAGUCUAGAGGGCAGUAUAAAUUCA